This 363-nucleotide ribosomal RNA is filed under the name Triticum aestivum (bread wheat). Its description in RNAcentral is "partial small subunit ribosomal RNA". The record is from RNAcentral. Lineage: Eukaryota; Viridiplantae; Streptophyta; Magnoliopsida; Poales; Poaceae.
AUGCCGCAGGACACAUUUUCUAUCACCGCGCUUCUACAUUCCGACAUUAUUCAUGGUAAAAGCAAAAUUCAAAUACCACAGAGCUACCAAUCUGAGAAAAGCACAACUAUAGAAAAAAAAUUGCCCUUUUGCUUGCAGGUACACUCAGGAGAUGGGCCUAUGAACAUGGAAGCGGAUGAUAAUUUCCUUUCAGGCAUUUUACUUUCUGAAAUGACAAAAACACAAGGGCCACCCAAAGAAAAUACCCAAAACAAAAUCAAAAUAGUACAAGAAAUGGAAAACACACUUGAUUCAGAUAGAACUUCAAAAGAGAUUUGUCAAACCCCCCUUCAUCACCAGAUAGUUCCUGCAAAAAUAUAUUAA